UGUGUAUCAGUACAUGGCAUAUCAAUAAGCGGAGGAAAAGAAACUAACUAGGAUUCCCUUAGUAACGGCGAGUGAAGCGGGAAGAGCUCAAAUUUGAAAUCUUCAAGGUUCUACCUUGACGAAUUGUAGUUUAAAGAAGUGUUUUCUGUUGGAGUUUUGGUAAAAGUUCUUUGGAAUAGGACAUCAUAGAGGGUGAGAAUCCCGUAUUUGACCGUUACUUUCCAGCUGUGUGAUACACUUUCAAAGAGUCGGAUUGUUUGGGAAUGCAGUCCAAGAUGGGUGGUAAAUUUCAUCUAAAGCUAAAUAUUGGCGAGAGACCGAUAGCGAACAAGUACCGUGAGGGAAAGAUGAAAAGAACUUUGAAAAGAGAGUUAAACAGUACGUGAAAUUGUCAAAAGGGAAGCGUUUGACACCAGUGUUGUUUUUCCGAAAAUCAAUUAUGAAUGGCUUGAUUUUAAGUUUCAUGACCUUAAAAGCUUGUUGCUUAUUUUUCAUGUCUUUCGUAAUGCACUUUUCGGUUAACAAGUCAACAUCAAUUUCUCUUGUUGUAAAAGGUUAAGAGGAAGGUGGCCUUUACUUUCGGGUAAAGUGUUUAUAGCCUUUUAACUCUGCAAUCGGAGAGAUUGAGGUCUGCAGCGUAGAUCCUUCGGGGUUAGAUACAUUUGUGCUAAGUUAUAGCUUUUCAUAGACAACUUGUUGACUAUGUUAAGUCUUGUAAUUUACUCGCAGAUGCUAUUUUACCUACGCUUAGGAUGUUGACAGCAGUAUAGACUGU
RNAcentral lists this ribosomal RNA (775 nucleotides) under uncultured Neocallimastigales. Its description in RNAcentral is "partial large subunit ribosomal RNA". It matches the Rfam family "Eukaryotic large subunit ribosomal RNA", at positions 22 to 637 of the family's 3401-position model. The record is from RNAcentral. Lineage: Eukaryota; Fungi; Neocallimastigomycota; Neocallimastigomycetes; Neocallimastigales.